RNAcentral lists this ribosomal RNA (253 nucleotides) under uncultured bacterium. RNAcentral describes it as "partial 16S ribosomal RNA". It matches the Rfam family "Bacterial small subunit ribosomal RNA", at positions 524 to 776 of the family's 1533-position model. The record is from RNAcentral.
UACGUAGGGGGCAAGCGUUAUCCGGAUUUACUGGGUGUAUAGGGGGCGCAGACGGCGAUGCAAGCCAGGAGUGAAAGCCCGGGGCCCAACCCCGGGACUGCUCUUGGAACUGCGUGGCUGGAGUGCAGGAGGGGCAGGCGGAAUUCCUGGUGUAGCGGUGAAAUGCGUAGAUAUCAGGAGGAACACCGGUGGCGAAGGCGGCCUGCUGGACUGCAACUGACGUUGAGGCCCGAAAGCGUGGGGAGCAAACAGG